UAAGAGCGCUACCAAGAACCACCGCUGGGGA
Molecule: non-coding RNA, 31 nt
Filed under: Homo sapiens (human)
Lineage: Eukaryota; Metazoa; Chordata; Mammalia; Primates; Hominidae
Source: RNAcentral